RNAcentral lists this unclassified non-coding RNA (352 nucleotides) under soil metagenome. Its description in RNAcentral is "partial contains 5.8S ribosomal RNA, internal transcribed spacer 2, and large subunit ribosomal RNA". The stretch from base 1 to 120 matches the Rfam family "5.8S ribosomal RNA", at positions 35 to 154 of the family's 154-position model. The record is from RNAcentral.
GAUGAAGAACGCAGCGAAAUGCGAAAAGUAAUGUGAAUUGCAGAAUUCAGUGAAUCAUCGAAUCUUUGAACGCACAUUGCGCCCGCUGGUACUCCGGCGGGCACGCCUGUCCGAGCGUCAUUUCAACCCUCAAGCCCUCCUUCGGGAUGGGCCUGGUGUUGGGGCUCGGCCGCCAUCUCCGGCGGCCGUCCCCUAAAUACAGUGGCGGUCACGUCGCGGCUCCUUUGCGUAGUAGAAACACCUCGCUCCGGAUAGCAACGCGGUCCACGCCGUAAAACCCCCAAUUUUCAAUGGUUGACCUCGGAUCAGGUGGGAAUACCCGCUGAACUUAAGCAUAUCAAUAAGCGGAGGA